GAUGAACGCUAGCGGCAGGCCUAACACAUGCAAGUCGAGGGGCAGCACAUAAAGUGGUUUACUACUUUUGGUGGCGACCGGCGGACGGGUGUGUAACGCGUAUGCAACCUGCCUCCAACAGGGGGAUAACGGAGAGAAAUUUCCACUAAUACCCCAUAAUAUCAGAAUCGGCAUCGGUUUUGGUUGAAAACUCCGGUGGUUGGAGAUGGGCAUGCGUUGUAUUAGAUAGUUGGGGAGGUAACGGCUCACCAAGUCAACGAUACAUAGGGGGACUGAGAGGUUAGCCCCCCACACUGGUACUGAGACACGGACCAGACUCCUACGGGAGGCAGCAGUGAGGAAUAUUGGUCAAUGGGGGCAACCCUGAACCAGCCAUGCCGCGUGCAGGAAGACGGCUCUAUGAGUUGUAAACUGCUUUUACAAGGGGAUAAAUCGGUGUACGUGUACACCGUUGAAGGUACCUUGGGAAUAAGGAUCGGCUAACUCCGUGCCAGCCGCCGCGGUAA
RNAcentral lists this ribosomal RNA (506 nucleotides) under uncultured bacterium. RNAcentral describes it as "partial 16S ribosomal RNA". It matches the Rfam family "Bacterial small subunit ribosomal RNA", at positions 28 to 523 of the family's 1533-position model. The record is from RNAcentral.